AUUGCUGUAGGGAGUAAGCUUCACAGUCAGCUCACUCAACAGGAUUUCCAUGUGUAUUCCAGUCCAAGAUACAGAUAGAUAACCAAAUAUCCUUCUGCAUCCAUGGCAACACCCAAACAGGCUGUAUUUGAAGAAACGCACUGGGAACAGACUGGAGGGGAUAGGCAGAGAGGAAAUGAGCUGGAGAUACAUAACACAGACUGGAGAGAGUGAAGGGAAGGAAGAUUGAGAAAUGCCAGGAACCAGCACAAGAACAGUUGUGGUGCAAAAGGAACAGCCUGGCUACAUGCAGUUCCCACCUGCUGGUCACUUUAACAGGAAGGGGCAGCAAAGUGGCCCAGGCACUGCCUCACAGUCAUCUGCUGCACUGGAGAAACACCACUCAUCCCACCAGCCAGACACCAAGGAGAGAAAGAGAACCAUCUCUGAGCAGCACCUGGCUCAGCAUACAUUCUGCAGGGCAGCAAGCCUGCAAGGAAACCUCCCUCUCCUCCUACCUGGAUCAUUUUCCCACGAGAAAAGAAAGGACAAGGUAUGAGCUACUGCUUCCCUCCUCAGCCUUGCGUGGCACAACAAGGAAUUGAGGAUGUAACGCUUCAAGAAUGGGACAUGAAACAGAGGAGCACUGGCUGCUGCAGGCAGCUUUUGGGACAGCCAGCAGUCUGUGUUGCAGGCUCUGUCAUCACGGGCAGCUUCCUGAACAAGCGUCUAUACUUUGAGGUAGGUUUAUCAUGCUUUCUGAGGAACAAAGCAGCUCAGGCAGGGGUGGUAGAGGAGACAGACCACGACAAGCACAAGAAAACUUGGCCCAAGGAACUCAAGAAAGCAAUACGACUCUGAUAUUUGGUUAUCCUUCUGUAUCCUUGACCGGAAUGCACCUGGAAAUCCUGUUGAGUGAGAAGAAGGAAUGAGGCCAGAACUGUUCAAUUAUAGGUGCUAGAUUUACCUUGCUGUAGCUCACACUUCAAAACUGAUCUGGAAAUGCUUCAAAGCCCUUAGGUGACAGGGUGAGAGUAUGCCCUGUGCCACGCUGAGGCAGGAUAUAGGGGAGCAGAAUAACACAUUCUGUGUAGCCUGACUUGCUCCUGCCCCAGUAAAUCUGCUCCUGUGGAGCACUGCGAUGAGGGGUCAUAAAAAGCAGAACCUGUCCCUUUUCUAAAUACCCACUGAUCUCAGCAUCAGUCUUUUUGUCAGAGAACUGCCCUGCAAAGCUACAAACACACCAGAGAAACUUCAUUAGUAGAAAUGCACAGAAGGCAGAUGAAAUAACUCACACCUGCACAAACAGUCACGGAUAACCCAACGCACAUCAUUACCACCUGCCAGCUUUGCAACUGUUGGCCAACUCAAGAGCUUCCCAUUUUCUUUAAUGUUCACAGUCCCCACCAGGGCUGCAGAGCAGAGCUCUGGGUCACUGCCAGAAGAACUGACUGCUACUCCUUGUUGUGCUGCAGUGUAUAAAGCCUUCAAGGGAUGAGCACCUCACUGCACCUUUUUUCUGACUGCUUGUGUUACAUUGCAGUUCUGGAGCAGAAGGCCUUAUGCUGUUUCUCCCCAUUGAGUGCAGUCAGACACUAGAGAUGGCUCACAGUUGGACAGCACACAGGGCACUAUCUUGUUUGUACACACAGAAAGAAAACAAGUGUAAGAAGGACGAGGAUGAUCCACCAGUAAUGUGCCAAACAGGAUCUAAUCUCUUUGAAACUUCCCUGUCUCUAUGAAAUGAGAGCGUGUUCCUCUUCAGCUGCUGAACCCAAGACGGUUUCCAGCAUCAGGAGUAUAAGAGAAAUUCCUGUUCAACACUUUGAACCUCAAGUAUGAAACACAUAUAUAAUCUGUUGUCUGAGACUCCCAGCCUGCUUCACUGAUAGCGUUGUUUUGCUUCAGGGUAAGAAAGCAUUAGCCAGAGAACUUGAGAGGCUUUCUCAAGGUUGCCUAAAGGAACAACAGAACUGGAAACACAGCUGGAUUCGGAGCUUUAAAGGCUGCAGUGCAAAUACAUCAUCGAGAGGGUAGAGCUCCCAACAAAGGCCCACUGCGCUGUAUGUACACAGCAAAGGUCAACGAAGAGAAGAGAGCACCCAGCUGGCCUGGGCAGGGAGGCAGGGGCACUGAGAUAAAGCAGAUCUGCCUGAGGUAACCUAGCACAUCACCAGAUAAGGAAUCCAAGACAAGUCAAGGCCCUGACAUCCCAAUCCAAGUCCUAUAGUCUCUCAAUUUUUACAGCACUUCACCACCACUGCUUAAAACUUGGCUAACAGAAUGUAUGGGAACUGUUGAAUCCUGACCUGAACCACUAAUUGAGCACCUGGGAAAAGGACUCAGUCAGCCCUGGGAGCACAGGUAAAGGCAAUUCAGCUGUGAGACAGGAAGGGGUGGAGCCUUGCUGCACCUCUCUUAGACCCCCCAUUUAAGGGCUGACUGCCACUAGGAAAGGUUCUUCUUCUGGAGAUUCCUCCUUGGUGAAGUUUUCCUCUGCAAACAGAGAAUCUUCUAAUUCAGCUUUUAGCCCUGAGUCACGACAUCAUCCCUCCUCGUGCCACCACCACAGCAGGACGUACUACAGCCCCCGAGGCCGACACCCCAAUGCUCAGCAUCACGCGGGGCCGCUGAGGCUGGAGAAGCCGAUAGGAUCACGAAGCCGACCCCGGCAGCACACGCUGACCCCGUGCUCAGCCUGCAGGCACCGAUCCCCGCGACGCGCGCUUCAGUGAGGUGAGCCCGCCGCCACCCGGGCCCGCUCCCCCUCGGGGCCCGGCAGCAGAGCCGCCUCAGAGGAAGGCCGGGGCAGCCCGAGCGGCGGGCGAACGCCGCCAGCGAACAAAGCGCGGAUCGAUGGGCUGCGGGAGAAAGCCGAGCCGUGAUUGCCGGAACCAAGGGCGGGCGGCCCUUACCUGGCUGGCGAAGUCCCUCAGGU
Molecule: long non-coding RNA, 2917 nt
Organism: Gallus gallus (chicken)
Lineage: Eukaryota; Metazoa; Chordata; Aves; Galliformes; Phasianidae
Exons: 2
Source: RefSeq, a predicted model, not a curated record